UUAAAAAAAAAAAAAGGUAAAGUUUCUGAAUACUCAAAAGCAGAGAGAUUAGUACAGUGAACUCCCAUGUCUACAUUCUGCAAGACAUCUUCUUCAAUUGCACUGUUAUGGUAACAGGAUCACUGUGCUAAACCCUGCAGAAGCCAGGUCUCAUCCAAUGUGCAUGAGAAAUCACUGCACCUGCCUUUGUGGAUGGCCCCCGGCUGCGCCUUGGGAUGAGAGGAAGGAACAGGCAUAAAGAGCCGAAGCAGCUUGCCAGUGUUUCUCUGAGGAAGCAGCUGAGCCGGGAUUCACACGCGAGGUGGUGGAGCCCAGAGACGAUAGACAGAGCUGGCCCACCUGGAACACUGCUAGUGGCAGAGGGGAAAGAACACAGCAAUUGUGCACCAGCUUUUGGAGGCCUCCUCUAGAAAGUGGCAUUUAUCACUCCUGCUCACAUUUCGUUGGCCGAAGCAAGCCCAACUCCGAAGACCCAGGGAGUGCAAUCCUUCUGCAGAGAGAGGGACUGCUGAGCAGUCUACGCACCAGAACAUGGAGUUAAUCUGCAGGAGAGACAUCCGUGAGCCUCAGAGAACAAGCCAGAGGCGUGUGGGGCCCCGUGGGACAAAGUCUGGCAGAGUUAGGAAGGGUGCUCCCCCCCAAUCUCUGAUCUUGCUCCCACCCCCUAGAUGGGACUGACGGCUUCAGGAACCUUGGGAGGCCCACCUGUCAGCAAUACUGGCAUGGAGAGAAGCACAUUCCUCUACCCAGGGCCUUUGCAUAUGCUGUGCCCUCUGCCUUGAUCCCUCUUCCCCACUCCCACGUCUACUAGUUCAUAUUCAUCCUUCACAUUUCAGGAAUAAGCUCAAUUCUUCUGGGAAGCCUCGUUUACACCUUUCCUUGUAUUAGGCCCUCCUGUGAUUCUCCUUCAUAGCACC
This is a long non-coding RNA of Mirounga angustirostris (Northern elephant seal), 917 nucleotides long. RefSeq lists it as uncharacterized. The record is from RefSeq and is a predicted model, not a curated record. NCBI's taxonomy places the organism in Eukaryota, Metazoa, Chordata, Mammalia, Carnivora, Phocidae. The transcript has 4 exons.